Mizuhopecten yessoensis (Yesso scallop) is the source of this 497-nucleotide long non-coding RNA. RefSeq lists it as uncharacterized. The record is from RefSeq and is a predicted model, not a curated record. The transcript has 5 exons. Lineage: Eukaryota; Metazoa; Mollusca; Bivalvia; Pectinida; Pectinidae.
UUUACUACACACAUCUUGAUGACGUUUUACACAUUCGACUUACACACAGCUCCACGGCGACCUCAAGCGUUGCAAUUGUCUUGUAAUAACAGACUGACCACCACUGAUUGAAUAUCAUCAUGUCUGACUCCGUCGUUAACGAAAAUUAUCAUACAGGACUUUGUAAUAUUUACAUCAGGCAUUAUCAAAAAUGCCUAGCAGAGGCUUCAAUCAUGUCGCGAGUCCUUUCUGGGCCAUGUGAUUAUGCUAAAAUAAAGAUGAAGAUGUGCUUUAUUGAUGAGAAGUUAGAAAGGGCAAAGGAUCGAAAAGCGUUUAAAAGAAAAUUGAAGAGAGAAAGGGAAGAGAGAGAGCAAGAGGAAAAAGCUAAGAAUUCAGCAGCACCAUCCUCUUGAAGUAUUAUAAGCAUAAUUGACACCUGGUGGGACUACAGAUCAGCUGUUUAGUGUGGAUACCUGGCGUUUCCAUCAUCAGCUAGUGGGGACACCUGGUGGGACUAU